GUAGUUAGAACUGCCUCUGCAAUGGUGGCCCACAUCUGUAAUGGCAGACUCUCUGUAAUGUGGCUGCCUCCAGGAGAUGAUGGCUGCAUGAGUGCCUGCCAUGUCCCACUGGAAUCAUGAGAGCACGGGGAGCGGGAUGUUGGACCAUGGGGCGAGGCCGGGCCCUGUCCCCCACAGCCAGGAGUGAAGACGUGGAGCUGCCCUUGGAGGAGUAUGUGCCUAAGGGCCUGGAACUGGCCAGCCUGGGGCCAGAGAGCCCCAUGCCCGAGGAGUAGGAGUGCCAUAACCACAGCCCCGAUGGGGACUACAGCUCCAACUAUGUGAACAACAGCCCCAAGGAGGAGGACUAUGACGAGGGCUCAUAACACUAUACUGGUACACAAUAUGGAUAAGGAGGACAUUGACAGAUUUCCAGGAUUUUACAUAAUUUCUGAAAACAUAACAUUUUACUCAUAUAAAUGUAACCCAGGGAAGGUUAGAUAUCUCUUUUUAUUUGUAUAUUUUGUAUAGUUUUUCUUAUAAAAAAUAUAACCUACUUUACUUGCAAUACUUGCCCUACUUUUCUUUCAUACUCUGGAUAGAGUUGUUUCUAGUUAUUCUACUGUUUCUAGUAGUUUUAUUUAUAUAUAUUGAUUAUAUUUUUAAUACUUAGUAAUCUUUAUUUUCCAGGGUAAACUAGGAAGUAGACAAUUUUAAAUUGACAUAUAUUAACAUUCUAUAGUAGAUUAGACAAUGUAUGAGUAUACAAUCUCCCAACAUCUAGAGGGACGUGUUUCCUCAUAGUACGAUUUCUCAGUGUGGUAGACAAAAAUAAUGUUUAUUAACAGGUCAAAAUAUCUUUAGUCUCUCCAUAAAAAUAGCGGGCAAAAGUAUAUAAAGUUGAAUUAGUUAUGUUCAGUAAUUAGUAUUUUAGUAUUGUAUCUUAUUUACAAAUUAUCUAGAUGUUUAAUGCAAAUCUUUUAGUUAGCUUAACUUCAAGGUUAAAAAUUACCAAAAGUAUUUUGGAAACUAUUAUUAGGCAGAUUUACUGUAAAAAAUUAUUAUUGAAAUAAUGUUUUUAAUAAGAAUAACAACUUAAUUAGAAUCAAAUCUAUAAGCUUUCAGAUUUUAAGUAUCUAGUAAACAUAAUAUUAGCUUAUUUGACUAGAACUCAAGCAGAAUAGAAAUUUGUUUUAUAUUCAAUAGUGAUAGCUCUGAAGACAUAGUUGUCUUAUACUAAAAAUAUUAAAUCGAUCUUUUUAGACU
Sapajus apella (tufted capuchin) is the source of this 1245-nucleotide long non-coding RNA. RefSeq lists it as uncharacterized. The transcript is spliced from 2 exons. The record is from RefSeq and is a predicted model, not a curated record. NCBI's taxonomy places the organism in Eukaryota, Metazoa, Chordata, Mammalia, Primates, Cebidae.